RNAcentral lists this ribosomal RNA (1169 nucleotides) under Salmonella enterica. Its description in RNAcentral is "partial 23S ribosomal RNA". It matches the Rfam family "Bacterial large subunit ribosomal RNA", at positions 830 to 1895 of the family's 2925-position model. Lineage: Bacteria; Pseudomonadati; Pseudomonadota; Gammaproteobacteria; Enterobacterales; Enterobacteriaceae. RNAcentral also lists the same sequence under 1 other name. The record is from RNAcentral.
CAAUCAAACCGGGAGAUAGCUGGUUCUCCCCGAAAGCUAUUUAGGUAGCGCCUCGUGAAUUCAUCUCCGGGGGUAGAGCACUGUUUCGGCUAGGGGGCCAUCCCGGCUUACCAACCCGAUGCAAACUGCGAAUACCGGAGAAUGUUAUCACGGGAGACACACGGCGGGUGCUAACGUCCGUCGUGAAGAGGGAAACAACCCAGACCGCCAGCUAAGGUCCCAAAGUCAUGGUUAAGUGGGAAACGAUGUGGGAAGGCCCAGACAGCCAGGAUGUUGGCUUAGAAGCAGCCAUCAUUUAAAGAAAGCGUAAUAGCUCACUGGUCGAGUCGGCCUGCGCGGAAGAUGUAACGGGGCUAAACCAUGCACCGAAGCUGCGGCAGCGAACGUAUCACCCAAGACAACUUUACGGAGUUGACGAUUGACGGAGCGAAGCGACGUCAAAGCGUUCAUUAAAGUCGAGUUGGCUUAGGGAUACGUUCGUUGGGUAGGGGAGCGUUCUGUAAGCCUGUGAAGGUGUGUCGUGAGGCAUGCUGGAGGUAUCAGAAGUGCGAAUGCUGACAUAAGUAACGAUAAAGCGGGUGAAAAGCCCGCUCGCCGGAAGACCAAGGGUUCCUGUCCAACGUUAAUCGGGGCAGGGUGAGUCGACCCCUAAGGCGAGGCCGAAAGGCGUAGUCGAUGGGAAACGGGUUAAUAUUCCCGUACUUGGUGUUACUGCGAAGGGGGGACGGAGAAGGCUAUGUUGGCCGGGCGACGGUUGUCCCGGUUUAAGCGUGUAGGUGUGUGUUCCAGGUAAAUCCGGUUCACUUUAACACUGAGGCGUGACGACGAGGCACUACGGUGCUGAAGCAACAAAUGCCCUGCUUCCAGGAAAAGCCUCUAAGCAUCAGGUAACAUCAAAUCGUACCCCAAACCGACACAGGUGGUCAGGUAGAGAAUACCAAGGCGCUUGAGAGAACUCGGGUGAAGGAACUAGGCAAAAUGGUGCCGUAACUUCGGGAGAAGGCACGCUGACACGUAGGUGAAGUGAUUUACUCAUGGAGCUGAAGUCAGUCGAAGAUACCAGCUGGCUGCAACUGUUUAUUAAAAACACAGCACUGUGCAAACACGAAAGUGGACGUAUACGGUGUGACGCCUGCCCGGUGCCGGAAGGUUAAUUGAUGGGGUCAGCG